AAACGCUCUAACACCAAACCGGGACAACUAACUUACUGACCGGGAUACCGGGACACAACGCUUCAGACCGGGACAUGUCCCGGUGUACCGGGACGUAUGGCAGCCCUACCGUAGCGAGGAAAUGGCUGCCACCAUUUCCUCAAACUUCCUUUGCUUUGA
Maniola jurtina (meadow brown) is the source of this 159-nucleotide long non-coding RNA. RefSeq lists it as uncharacterized. Lineage: Eukaryota; Metazoa; Arthropoda; Insecta; Lepidoptera; Nymphalidae. The transcript is spliced from 3 exons. The record is from RefSeq and is a predicted model, not a curated record.